CCCCAGUGAUAUUUAUUAUCAGUCAGGAUUCACUUUACAGUCAAUAAAUAACCUUAAAAAUCUGAAUUUUGUAGCCAGAUUUGUCUAAUUCUUAGAGCAAUGCUUUGGGAAAUUGGAGAUACAUAUAUAUAUGAAUAUAAAUAUGUAUAUCUGAUAUAUACCUUUUUUAUGAAGGUUUUGUCCUACUACUUCAAAUGUUUCUUUUUGUUUCCUUUUUCCUAACAUAUAUAAAAUUUUCUUAACCAUAUUUAAAGCUACCAGCUUGUUAUUCUAACAAAACCCUGUGAAAAUAAAUUAUUUUUAUUAAUACUCUACAUGUCAAAACCUUGCAGUCAGUCAAAUAACAGAAGGAGUGUUCAUUGUCUCUCUCCCCCACUGAUGCUGUUCUAGGAGUUGGAGUUAGAAGAUUCAGACAUCAAGUGAAACAGUGAAAGAUGAUAAGAAAACACUUGAUUCUCACAAGGCCUGAAAUUGGAAACUAUUUAAAACCUAACAAACCCUGGAGUUUAUCCCUGUUCUUUGAAUAGCAACAGAAGUAUGGCUGUCAUGGUUUGACACAUCAGUGAAGAACAGCCUCUGCUCUGCAGCAGGUACUCAAGUGGAACUUUUGCAAGUGGGCUCUCAUCAGGAGUGAAACACUGGCUGCUGACUCUGCUGCUUUUGCUCACAGACUGCUGCCUUUAUGAACCAGGCAUCUCUUCAGGGACUACUUUAAAUCCCAGAAUGUUCAAGAGCCAUCACUGUACAAACAGAAGCUCCAACUGAACGAAACCAGAAGUGGAUAUGGCAAAUUCUCUGGUCCAAGUGGUGAUAUUAAUCUGGUGAGGCUCUGGAUUCCCAUUUCAGACAUACUAUCACAGCUUAAAUAUAGGAAAAAAUUGGGAUUUUACUUUGCUGUGGUCUCUUUUUGUUUUGCAAAAUAUGUGAUAGUUAAUAUAUGAGUAAAAUCUUGUAUAAAAACAGUUGUUGUUUGUUUUUUGUUUUUUUUUAACAAAUAGCCAAAUGCAUAUUACCUGCCUUGCUGGAAAAUAAUUGAGGUCUUCCUCUAAGAAAUUUUUUCUCAGAGUGCCUUUCUUUGUGAUUUGUGUUCUUAUCUUAGGAAGAUACAGGAGUUGCUCAUUUUAAU
This 1126-nucleotide long non-coding RNA is filed under the name Cyanistes caeruleus (blue tit). RNAcentral's name for it is "lncRNA (ENSCCEG00000005765.1)". Lineage: Eukaryota; Metazoa; Chordata; Aves; Passeriformes; Paridae. The record is from RNAcentral.